Musa acuminata AAA Group (dessert banana) is the source of this 1111-nucleotide long non-coding RNA. RefSeq lists it as uncharacterized. The transcript has 2 exons. The record is from RefSeq and is a predicted model, not a curated record. Lineage: Eukaryota; Viridiplantae; Streptophyta; Magnoliopsida; Zingiberales; Musaceae.
UUUUCUCGUAGUUGCCUUCAAAUCAAGAGUUCAAGAACCUAUGUGACAGAUUUUGCCUGAGGUUUGUUUGCUUGUUCGUGACAAAGCACAGAGACACUCACACUAAGCCUGUUAAGGUCUCAAAUUCCGUACCUAGUCAUGGGAACUCUCUUUUUAUUUCUGUGAUGAGCAAAGGUGUAAUAAGAGGGCAUAGAUGAGUGGGCGAAGAACAGACCUGGUGGCAAUCUUCCUGGGGUCACAAACAAGAACCUGCGUCCUGGAAUCGAUGUAAGCCACGAAGAACGUGAGAACGAUGUCGGCCGCGAAGAAGGCGUCGAUGACGUUGUCGGUGAGGAACAGCCCACCCUUCGGCGCGGCGUGCAUGAACGCGAUCUCGAACGGAUACACCCAUGCAGAGUACGCUACCAGCGCCACCAUGAACGCUUCCCAGCACCUGCAAGACAACAUCUUGGAGCUUUCGUUCGUCAGCGAAAGAGAGAAUUCGUCGCCAUGGAGCUCUGCGCGUAGUUCUAACCUGUAUCUCGAGUCCAUGGGCAAGAAGAUUCUCCAUCGCGAGCCGUUCGGGUUCUGGCUGCAGCUUGACAUGCCGAGAGGAGGAAGAACGAGCUUGGAGAGGCUGCUGAGGCUAAGGGACUCGGAGCUGCUCUCAUCGCCGUGCUUCCUGCAGCCGUUCGUCAUGGAGUUGUGAGCCUUCAUGGCCGUACCGGAGUCUUGGCACGGGCUGCCUGCCAUAUUUUUGUUGUUACGAAAGCAUCAGGAGGAGAGAAGCAGGAUCGAGUCACACAAGCCUGGCACAAAUAAUGGAGGGCGAAGGAUGACGACAAUGUUGUGGUUCUGGCAAAGAUGAACCAUCUGAGUGCACUUUUCGGUGAUGGUGGGAUAAUUCCCGGGCCACUCGUGGCUGGGUGGCCAGCCUCUUUUUGUCUUGCAUUCUUCUCUCAUUCAGAGGGGUGAUAUAUCUGCAUCAUUACAUAAUGUUUUCUGGAUGUAACUCUCACAUUCAAUUUGGCUGACGUACCCAACUCUAUCUCCUCUUGUUUAUUGCCUAAAAUUAUGUACCUGCGUGGAUCAUUGGACAAUCAAAUGGCAAAUCAAUUUUUGAGUUGCUGCA